This 169-nucleotide ribosomal RNA is filed under the name uncultured bacterium. Its description in RNAcentral is "partial 16S ribosomal RNA". It matches the Rfam family "Bacterial small subunit ribosomal RNA", at positions 338 to 524 of the family's 1533-position model. The record is from RNAcentral.
CCUACGGGAGGCAGCAGUGGGGAAUAUUGGACAAUGGGCGCAAGCCUGAUCCAGCCAUGCCGCGUGAGUGAUGAAGGCCCUAGGGUUGUAAAGCUCUUUCAACGGUGAAGAUAAUGACGGUACCCGUAGAAGAAGCCCCGGCUAACUUCGUGCCAGCAGCCGCGGUAAU